AUUGAACGCUGGCGGCAGGCCUAACACAUGCAAGACGAGCGGAGCGCCGGACGGGUGAGUAAUACCUAGGAAUCUGCCUUUCAGCGGUUGAUAACGCUCGGAAACGGACGCUAAUACCGCAUACUAUCAGCUGAGCCUAGGUCGGAUUAGCUAGCUGGGGAGGUAAUGGCUCACCAAGGCUACGACCCGUAACUGGUCUGAGAGGAUGAUCAGUCACACUGGAACUGAGACACGGUCCAGACUCCUACGGGAGGCAGCAGUGGGGAAUAUGGGACAAUGGGCGAAAGCCUGAUCCAGCCAUGCCGCGUGUGUGAAGAAGGUCUUCGGAUUGGAGAGCACUUUAAGUUGGGAGGCGUUACCGACAGAAUAAGCACCGGCUAACUCUGUGCCAGCCGCCGCGGUAAUUC
This 407-nucleotide ribosomal RNA is filed under the name uncultured bacterium. RNAcentral's name for it is "partial 16S ribosomal RNA". It matches the Rfam family "Bacterial small subunit ribosomal RNA", at positions 30 to 526 of the family's 1533-position model. The record is from RNAcentral.